CCUACGGGAGGCAGCAGUGAGGAAUAUUGGUCAAUGGCCGUAAGGCUGAACCAGCCAAGUCGCGUGAAUGAAGAAGGAUCUAUGGUUUGUAAACUUCUUUUAUAGGGGAAUAAAGGUAUCCACGUGUGGAUAUUUGCAUGUACCCUAUGAAUAAGCAUCGGCUAACUCCGUGCCAGCAGCCGCGGUAAUACGGAGGAUGCGAGCGUUAUCCGGAUUUAUUGGGUUUAAAGGGUGCGUAGGUUGUUUUUUAAGUCAGCGGUGAAAGUUUGUGGCUCAACCAUAAAAUUGCCGUUGAAACUGGAAGACGUGAGUGUGUUUGAGGUAGGCGGAAUGCGUGGUGUAGCGGUGAAAUGCAUAGAUAUCACGCAGAACUCCGAUUGCGAAGGCAGCUUACUAAGCCAUAACUGACACUGAAGCACGAAAGCGUGGGGAUCAAACAGGAUUAGAUACCCUAGUAGUC
This 460-nucleotide ribosomal RNA is filed under the name uncultured bacterium. Its description in RNAcentral is "partial 16S ribosomal RNA". It matches the Rfam family "Bacterial small subunit ribosomal RNA", at positions 338 to 795 of the family's 1533-position model. The record is from RNAcentral.